RNAcentral lists this ribosomal RNA (483 nucleotides) under uncultured bacterium. RNAcentral's name for it is "partial 16S ribosomal RNA". It matches the Rfam family "Bacterial small subunit ribosomal RNA", at positions 29 to 506 of the family's 1533-position model. The record is from RNAcentral.
AUUGAACGCUGGCGGAAUGCUUUACACAUGCAAGUCGAGCGGCAGCACGGGGGCAACCCUGGUGGCGAGCGGCGAACGGGUGAGUAAUACAUCGGAACAUGCCCAGUCGUGGGGGAUAACACUUCGAAAGAAGUGCUAAUACCGCAUACGUCCUGAGGGGGAAAGCGGGGGAUCGCAAGACCUCGCGCGAUUGGAGUGGCCGAUGUCAGAUUAGCUAGUUGGUGGGGUAAAGGCCUACCAAGGCAACGAUCUGUAGCUGGUCUGAGAGGAUGAUCAGCCACACUGGGACUGAGACACGGCCCAGACUCCUACGGGAGGCAGCAGUGGGGAAUUUUGGACAAUGGGGGCAACCCCGAUCCAGCCAUUCCGCGUGAGUGAAGAAGGCCUUCGGGUUGUAAAGCUCUUUCGGCAGGAACGAAACGGUGGGCUCUAACAUAGCUUGCUAAUGACGGUACCUGAAGAAGAAGCACCGGCGAACUACGU